CUAGUCUUGUUGUUUUCUGCCUCCAGGACGUUCGCUCCGCCAAGCUGCAGGGUGUCGUUCUCAUUUUAUGGAGGGGACUGCUGAGAUCAUAUGCUCUGCAGGAAGCCAGCUGCCAUCUCAUGAGGGGCCCUACGGAGAGACCACAUAGUAUAGAACUGAGCCUACUGCCAACAGCCGGCAUCAAAUUGCUAGUGAUUGAGUGCACCGCCUUGGGAGCAGAUCCUCCAGCCCCCAUCAAGCCUUCAGAGACUGAAUCCCCAGCUAACACCUUGGUGGAAACCUCAUGAGAGAGAUAUGAGCCAGACCAUACAGCUAAGUCACUUCUUAGCUCGCCCCAGCUCGGCCACUAAUUGGCUGUGUGAUCUCAGACAAGCUGAGCUCCCUCUCUGAGACACAGCUGCCUCAUUUGCAAAGUAAGAAGGUGAAAUUGCACGAUCAGCUGAAGACUCUUCCUGCCUCGGUCCGGUAAGUGUGAUCAAAAUGUUAAAUUAACGGUCACACAAUCGGUCGUCGGAGGCUCACCUUUCAAAAAGAAAAAGGCCAACUGGAAAAUGACAUAAUUAAAAGAAGGAAAGAAAACUCUCUCUCCAGAGGCUGCGAUUUCACAGAAAGCCGGCGUGCCUGUGAUAUUCCACACAGCGUAUUAUGAUGACAGGGAGACACGGAGGAUGUGCUGAAAGACACGCAGCAAGUGGAGACCACCUGAAUACCUGGCCCUGAAUGGCCAUUGACCAAGAGGCAGGAGUCUGUGACAGGAGCGAUAAAGUAGGACUUGUCACAACUGUGGAAAGUAGAUCUGCGAGCUGCCUAACCAGCACCAGUGCAAACUCUGACCCUUGCUCUGGCCGUGACCUGGAUAGGUGGAUGGAUCCAGAUCUACCAAUGGCCAUGAAACAAAGGAAGAAACGCCCACAUGUUAUGGGAGGCCAGCACUGACAGCCAGAGAAUGGCUGGACUCAAUGAGGGACAUAUUGGGAACCUGGAUGGGAAGAGUCAAUCAAAAGCUUAAAGAUGUCGAUCCUUCCUGAAUUAAUGAGUAAACUCAAGGCAAUCUCAAUAAAAACCUGCAUGAGCAAAAGCAAGGGGAUGUAAAAGGCGACUCCUUGGAACGCUUAAUCACACAGAACGUAAAUCCCUCAGCAGAGAGGCAGCUGCGAGGGAUGGGGCGCGAUCUGCAGGACUGCUCAUUUUCAUCUUCUGGCAAGUAAUGGAAUCAAGAAUGCACGUCUGCUCACCGGGGCUGCUUUACUCCAAAUUGUUAAAAUCUGUUCCCCCUUUUUCUUGGUGUGUUCCUUGCUUGCUUUGAGAAAUGUUCUUGCCUUACUCCAUGUGGUUCUGAUGGGAAUUGCAGUAACCCCCACACCUCCACGUCCACGAUGAACACAUGCUGGCUAUAUAGAGGAAAAACUAAUUAUAUCCCUGCCAUUCUCUAAGCCUCUACCUCUUGCCAAGAUAACCAGUGUUGCCUGCCUGGUGAAUAUUCCUUCCUAAAGCUCUCCUUGUGUGAAAAAGUAUACAAAUGUAUCUACACAAACACAGUUUCUCCUUUACCUAAGAACUGAUUCUGUUGAAGCUGUUUUCAACAUCAUAGAGCCUAAAAGAGCCUCGAGGGAAAUGGCUCAUUGACUUGGUCUUCCAGGGAAGCAUCUCAAAUAUUAGACAUCAGAGCUCCCAGUUCUCAGGCUUUUGAACUCACACUGAGAGAAUUCUUAGGAAUUCUCAGACUGAAUUCCACCACUGCCUUCCUGGGUCUCCAGCUUGCAGAUAGCAGAUCCUGGGACUGUUCAGCCUCCAUAAUUAGAAUGUUCUGGGGGGGCACAAUGAAGACAGAAUUGGGUCUACAGUUGGGAAAUCUGAGUUUGAACCCUUGAUCAGCCAUUUGCUAGUUGUGUGACUGACAAGUCAACCUCUUGAAGGCUCAAUUUCCUUAUAUGUAGAAUGAAAUGAAUAAAACUACUUUUUAGACUUGUGAGGGUCAAGUAAGAAAAGUUAUGUGAAAGUAUAUGACUCAUCCUAGGGGAUUAAUAAAUGUGAGCUAAUUGUCUUUGUUUCUAAGCUCUCCUGAGCCUCUCUCAUUCCCUCUGGCCAUGUGCAAAUACAUGGGGCUCUGCAGACUUGUGGAAUCAUCCCUAAGCAGGAGUCAGGAUGAGUAUGAGAGACCAAUAAAACAGAGCAUCCUACAGAACUCAGUUUAAAAGUAACUUCCUUCAGGAAGUCCUCCUUGACUUCUCACCUCUCAAGCUGAGUUGGUUGGAUUCUCUCUGCUCUCACUUUUCAAUGACUGUCACAAGACUGUGCCUUCCUCUAGGCACAGAUGAUGUCUUGUUCAUUGCUGGAUCCCUUGUAUAGAGCAGAGUCCAUGGGAAGCCUCCAUGGAGCAUGGAGUGGGCCUUUAUUAAGCCUUGAACACUUCACACCUUUACAUGCCCUGUCUCAUUUCGGCCUCACAACUGUAUGAGGCCACCAAUUAUUACUCUCAUUUUAUAGACAAGGAGAAUAAGUCUCACAGAGUUAAGUAACUUACCCAAGAUCACACAUCUGGUAAUUGGCAGAGACAGUUUUUGAACCCAGGCAAUCUAGCUCUAGAGCUCCUGUCUGCUACCACAAUCUUAUACAGCUGAGAAAAUGAAGGACUGAAUAAAUAACAGUAUGAACUAAUGAGCCAUGUGGCCUUGUAGGAACCACUCAGGGCUUAGCGAUAUAAUUAACUUCAUUUUGAACUGGUCAUAGUAAAGUUGUAGCAGCCUGAGAAACUAAAUUCUUGAUACUUUCCUCCUCUCUAAUAAGAAAUUUGAAUAGCCUGAAAUCCCUUACCUGUCUUGAUAAAUA
Microcebus murinus (gray mouse lemur) is the source of this 2829-nucleotide non-coding RNA. NCBI's taxonomy places the organism in Eukaryota, Metazoa, Chordata, Mammalia, Primates, Cheirogaleidae. The record is from RefSeq and is a predicted model, not a curated record.